GUCACACCUAUUUUCACGUUUGGAAGCCAUAAGUGAAAAAUUGAAGGAGCAAAUAAAGGGCGUGGAAGCUGUACAAGCCAAAGAGGUUCCUUUAUCCUGGGUUGGGGUAGCAGAGAGUGUGCAAGUAAUGGGCUCCUUUGAUGGUUGGAGUCAAGGAGAGCACUUAUCUCCAGAGUACACCGGCUCUUAUAUGAACUUUUCAGCUACAUUGUUCCUAAGACCUGGAAGGUACGAAAUUAAGUUCUUGGUAGAUGAUGAGUGGAAACUAUCCCCAGAAUUACCAACUACCGGAGAGGGGUUAACUAAGAACAAUUUAUUGGUCGUGGAAUAGCUCAUUUAGCUAGGACAGGUGCUGAAAGUUUGUAUUAUAGGUGGAAAAACAACUUGUUAAUCGUCGUACAGUUGAUCUCAGGACUCUUAAGCAGCGUAGCUCAUGAGGUGGGAUUGCUCAAGACAUCUAAUUCGCUCGACCUACUAUUAACUCAAAGUGUUGAAGGUAUAUAUAAUAGACCAGACCUCCUAAAGUGAUGGUAUAAAGGGCGAUCCGAGACUUCUGUUUUUCUCUUAUAAAGUCUUGAGUUGAAUGUUCAGACUCUUUCGAAAAUGUUUGGAAGCUUUUGGUAAAAAGGUUUAUUUUUAAAAAAGUGAGG
RNAcentral lists this unclassified non-coding RNA (650 nucleotides) under Hevea brasiliensis (rubber tree). Lineage: Eukaryota; Viridiplantae; Streptophyta; Magnoliopsida; Malpighiales; Euphorbiaceae. The record is from RNAcentral.